Long non-coding RNA from Chiroxiphia lanceolata (lance-tailed manakin), 398 nucleotides. RefSeq lists it as uncharacterized. Lineage: Eukaryota; Metazoa; Chordata; Aves; Passeriformes; Pipridae. The record is from RefSeq and is a predicted model, not a curated record. The transcript is spliced from 4 exons.
CAUCUCACAGGAUGCGCAUGUGGAACAGAAGGGGUGUUUUGCCCUAACACUGGAACAAGAGCAAGUUUUGAGGACCUGAAUAUAAGCUGUGGAAGCUGCCUCAAUGUAAGGAAAAGGAAAGAAGAAAAUCCCAACCAUUCAUAUUUCUAAAGGAGCAAAAAUGUCUUGGUGCAGCUUGCCUGGUGAUUGCAUUCAGUGGAGCAGUAUAGAGCGACACAACCCAGAUGUCUGCUAGAAAUCUUCUGCUGGAUGUUAUAGAUGCAUUUAGGAAUCUCCGGCAUAACAAGAUCUGACAGAGCACAACUACAGUCUCCCUGCCUCUCCUAGGUGCCCAUGCAGAUAUCCCCCACAAGCCUCCACAAAACAUCUGCUUGUGCCACUGUUUGGCAGCACAUAUU